RNAcentral lists this ribosomal RNA (477 nucleotides) under uncultured bacterium. RNAcentral's name for it is "partial 16S ribosomal RNA". It matches the Rfam family "Bacterial small subunit ribosomal RNA", at positions 28 to 507 of the family's 1533-position model. The record is from RNAcentral.
GAUUAACGCUGGCGGCGUGCAUAACACAUGCAAGUCGAACGAUGAAACUUUUUUGAUUUCUUCGGAAUGAUUAAAAGUGGAUUAGUGGCGGACGGGUGAGUAACGCGUGAGUAACCUGCCUUAUAGAAGGGGAUAGCCUUUUGAAACGAAGAAUAAUACCCUAUGAAACCAUAACCUCGCAUGAGGAAUUGGUCAAAGAUUUAUCGCUCUAAGAUGGACUUGCGUCUGAUUAGUUAGUUGGUGGGGUAACGGCCCACCAAGACAGCGAUCAGUAGCCGGCUUGAGAGAGUGUACGGCAACAUUGGGACUGAGACACGGCCCAGACUCCUACGGGAGGCAGCAGUGGGGAAUUUUGCACAAUGGGGGAAACCCUGAUGCAGCGACGCCGCGUGAUUUAGAAGGCCUUCGGGUUGUAAAAAUCUUUUCUAUGGGAAGAAAAUGACAGUACCAUAGGAAUAAGGACCGGCUAAUUACGUG